This 497-nucleotide ribosomal RNA is filed under the name uncultured bacterium. RNAcentral's name for it is "partial 16S ribosomal RNA". It matches the Rfam family "Bacterial small subunit ribosomal RNA", at positions 28 to 507 of the family's 1533-position model. The record is from RNAcentral.
GAUGAACGCUGGCGGCGUGCCUAAUACAUGCAAGUCGAGCGAACGGACGAGAAGCUUGCUUCUCUGAUGUUAGCGGCGGACGGGUGAGUAACACGUGGAUAACCUACCUAUAAGACUGGGAUAACUUCGGGAAACCGGAGCUAAUACCGGAUAAUAUUUUGAACAGCAUGGUUCAAAAGUGAAAGACGGUCUUGCUGUCACUUAUAGAUGGAUCCGCGCUGCAUUAGCUAGUUGGUAAGGUAACGGCUUACCAAGGCAACGAUGCAUAGCCGACCUGAGAGGGUGAACGGCCACACUGGAACUGAGACACGUUCCUGACUCCUACGGGAGGCAGCAGUAGGGAAUCUUCCGAAAUGGGCGAAAGCCUGACGGAGCAACGCCGCGUGAGUGAUGAAGGUCUUCGGAUCGUAAAACUCUGUUAUUAGGGAAGAACAUAUGCGUAAGUAACUGUGCACAUCUUGACGGUACCUAAUCAGAAAGCCACGGCUAACUACGUG